This 253-nucleotide ribosomal RNA is filed under the name uncultured bacterium. RNAcentral's name for it is "partial 16S ribosomal RNA". It matches the Rfam family "Bacterial small subunit ribosomal RNA", at positions 524 to 776 of the family's 1533-position model. The record is from RNAcentral.
UACGUAGGGCCCAAGCGUUGUUCGGAUUUACUGGGCGUAAAGGGCGCGUAGGCGGCGUGGUAAGUCAAUUGUGAAAUCUCCGAGCUUAACUCGGAACGGUCAAUUGAUACUGCUGUGCUAGAGUGCAGAAGGGGCAAUCGGAAUUCUUGGUGUAGCGGUGAAAUGCGUAGAUAUCAAGAGGAACACCUGAGGUGAAGACGGGUUGCUGGGCUGACACUGACGCUGAGGCGCGAAAGCCAGGGUAGCAAACGGG